Small nuclear RNA from Peromyscus maniculatus bairdii (prairie deer mouse), 158 nucleotides. Its record names the gene U1. It matches the Rfam family "U1 spliceosomal RNA". From Rfam's summary of the family: U1 is a small nuclear RNA (snRNA) component of the spliceosome (involved in pre-mRNA splicing). Its 5' end forms complementary base pairs with the 5' splice junction, thus defining the 5' donor site of an intron. There are significant differences in sequence and secondary structure between metazoan and yeast U1 snRNAs, the latter being much longer (568 nucleotides as compared to 164 nucleotides in human). The record is from Ensembl. Lineage: Eukaryota; Metazoa; Chordata; Mammalia; Rodentia; Cricetidae.
CUACUGACCUGGCUGGGGAGAGGCCAUGAUCAAGAAUAUGGGUUUCCCAAGGUGUGGCUUAUCCGAUGUACUCUCUGGAUGUGCCAAACCCCGUGAGUAUGGGAAACGGGACUGCAUAAUGUGUGGUAGUUGGGGGAUUGUGUUUGUGCUCUCUCCUA